ACUCAAAGGAAUUGACGGGGGCCCGCACAAGCGGUGGAGCAUGUGGUUUAAUUCGACGCAACGCGCAGAACCUUACCCGGUCUUGACAUCUUUGGAACCUGGCCCAAAAGCUGGGGUGCUCGCAAGAGAACCAGAAGACAGGUGCUGCAUGGCUGUCGUCAGCUCGUGUCGUGAGAUGUUGGGUUAAGUCCCGCAACGAGCGCAACCCUCGCCUUUAGUUGCCACGCAAGUGGAUCUCUAGAGGGACCGCCAGUUACAAGCUGGAGGAAGGUGGGGAUGACGUCAAGUCCUCAUGGCCUUUAUGACCGGGGCUACACACGUGCUACAAUGGACGGUACAAAGCGUUGCCAACUCGCAAGAGGGAGCCAAUCGCAUAAAACCGUUCUCAGUUCGGAUUGGAGUCUGCAACUCGACUCCAUGAAGUCGGAAUCGCUAGUAAUCGAAGAUCAGCACGCUUCGGUGAAUACGUUCCCGGGCCUUGUACACACCGCCCGU
Molecule: ribosomal RNA, 495 nt
Filed under: uncultured bacterium
Lineage: Bacteria
Description: partial 16S ribosomal RNA
Rfam family: Bacterial small subunit ribosomal RNA
Source: RNAcentral